GCUAGAUAUUUACGUUCAGAGGGAGCCGCCCUUCAUUCACCCACAUGGUCGCCUUCGCGCCACUUUCCUAAACCCGCAAUCAUUCCACACGCAGCGCAUCUGGGUCACAAACGGACUCCAGGACUCGACUCAGCUCAACGGAGGCUUGAUCUUUUCGCCACCAGCCAGAAACUUUUUAAGGCAGUAGUGUUUUUUCCCGUCUCUUUUGUGGCUGUAAGACUGCACGGCAGCCCCAAGCAAGUGAGCGAAGAUGGUGGAUUUCGGCUGAUCUGCAAGAAUUACACCAACCCCACCCAGUGUCCAUCUUUCUCCUUGUUGUCCUGACCCUGUUUGUGUAUUGUCAAAGUGCUUACAGUGCAGGUAGUACUAUGCAAUACCUACUGCAGUGGAGGCACUUAAAGCAAUACUCUGACACUGGUGUGCACGUUUUCAGAGAUUGACUGUUUUUCAAUUGGUGUACUGUCUUUGUGCUAAGGUGCAUCUAGUGCAGAUAGUGAAAUAGACUAGCACCUACUGCCCUAAGUGCUCCUUCUGGCAUAAGGGGCUGUGAUAUGCGCCACCAGACAAGAGUUUAAUUUCCAAUUGGGCACAAAAAUCUUGCAGUUCUCUGCUAGUUUUGCAUAGUUGCAUUACAAGAAUAGAUGAGUUGUGCAAAUCUAUGCAAAACUGAUGGUGGUCUGCUUGCUCUCCACCUGUUUGCAGACAUUUUUGCUUUUGAGGGUGUCCCAUGAUUAAACACAACCCUAUUGUUGCACAAUAUUAAGUUAAGCCAAGUGUUUUCCAGCUGCCAUCCAGAGACCUCAGUUUGAGCAGUACUAAAGUGCUUAUAGUGCAGGUAGUGUUUUCUCCCUAUCUACUGCAAUGUAAGCACUUGAAUUACUUCCAACUGCAUAAAUACUUGGACACAGACAGUCACCAGAAUGAUCAGCUAAUCAUCGCUCGGUCCGUUUUGCUGGUUUGCAUCCAGCUUUAACACGUUUGCUGUGCAAAUCCAUGCAAAACUGACGGGGUAAUGGCUUAUGACACACGGAGGAAGAUUGGAUUGUUUGUGUUUAUUUUUUUGCCUCGAUGAUGGGGCUUAUGCUAAUUUGGAUGUUAUGAGUUGUCCCUUUCUGCACAGGUGGGGAUUGGUAGCAAUGCUGUGUAGCUGAAGGUAUUGCACUUGUCCCGGCCUGUUAAGAAAAGAGGAGUAAACGCUGACCAGGAUCUUGAUUCAAAUCUUUACUUAAAAUCAUCCUUUUCUUUCGCAGCUUGCGUUGACCAUGUUUGAUAGUCCAAUGUUGUGAUUUGUAAUUAUGAGCAUGUAUGUUACAUUUUUAAAUAUAAAUAUAUAUAUGUAUUAAUGUAAAUUAUGCUUGUGUGUACAGUUACUUUUUUAAUGUAAUAAAUAUUGUGCUAACAUGUAUUUGUGCCCUGAA
Molecule: long non-coding RNA, 1418 nt
Filed under: Gouania willdenowi (blunt-snouted clingfish)
Lineage: Eukaryota; Metazoa; Chordata; Actinopteri; Blenniiformes; Gobiesocidae
Description: lncRNA (ENSGWIG00000014031.1)
Rfam family: mir-92 microRNA precursor family (bases 1109-1185)
Source: RNAcentral